GUAAAAGUCGUAACAAGGUUUCCGUAGGUGAACCUGCGGAAGGAUCAUUACCAAAUACUGCUUGCUUGAACUUGACUGUUCUGCAAACAAAACCCCCUCUGCGUACCUGUACCUGUUGCUUCCGUCAGCCUGUGGGCGUCCCUCGGGGCGUCCCCUCCGGUGCCUGGCCAGUUCAUGGCCGGCUGGGGAGUUGCUGGCGGCGAGCCAAAACAUUAAACACCUGUCAUAUCUCUGCACAUGUCUGAGCUUUGAUGCUAUAAACAAAAACAAGUUAAAACUUUCAACAACGGAUCUCUUGGUUCUCGCAUCGAUGAAGAACGCAGCGAAAUGCGAUAAGUAGUGUGAAUUGCAGAAUUCAGUGAAUCAUCGAAUCUUUGAACGCACAUUGCGCCUUCCGGCAUUCCGGGAGGCAUGCCUGUCCGAACGUCAUCAAGCCCCUCGCCCGCGUCUGUUGCUUGCAACGGAAGCCUUGGGCGGUUCCUGGCAGAUGGGUUGCACUCGUGCGCCCACCGCCGAAAUCCAUCGGCAGACCCUUCAUGGCUGUGAUUGUGAUAAGAUUUUCUUACAAUUGCCUGUCUGACUGGUGUCUGGCCGCAACAAACCGCAGACCCUCCACGGGGCCGUGCGGCAAAACCAAAUCUUUUGACUUCGGAUCAGGUAGGGAUACCCGCUGAACUUAA
This 680-nucleotide ribosomal RNA is filed under the name fungal sp. RL6. RNAcentral's name for it is "eukaryotic LSU rRNA". The stretch from base 276 to 429 matches the Rfam family "5.8S ribosomal RNA". Lineage: Eukaryota; Fungi. The record is from RNAcentral.